RNAcentral lists this ribosomal RNA (484 nucleotides) under uncultured bacterium. Its description in RNAcentral is "partial 16S ribosomal RNA". It matches the Rfam family "Bacterial small subunit ribosomal RNA", at positions 29 to 507 of the family's 1533-position model. The record is from RNAcentral.
AUUGAACGCUGGCGGAAUGCUUUACACAUGCAAGUCGAACGGCAGCACGGGGGAAGCCCUGGUGGCGAGUGGCGAACGGGUGAGUAAUACAACGGAACGUGCCCGGUCGUGGGGGAUAACGUAGCGAAAGUUACGCUAAUACCGCAUACGAUCUGAGGAUGAAAGCGGGGGACCUUCGGGCCUCGCGCGAUCGGAGCGGCCGAUGUCAGAUUAGGUAGUUGGUGGGGUAAAGGCCUACCAGGCCGACGAUCGGUAGCUGGUCUGAGAGGACGACCAGCCACACUGGGACUGAGACACGGCCCAGACUCCUACGGGAGGCAGCAGUGGGGAAUUUUGGACAAUGGGCGCAAGCCUGAUCCAGCCAUUCCGCGUGCAGGACGAAGGCCUUCGGGUUGUAAACUGCUUUUGUACGGAACGAAAAGGCUCUGGCUAAUACCUGGGGCUCAUGACGGUACCGUAAGAAUAAGCACCGGCUAACUACGUG